ACCGGCCCGACUUCCCCGCUUCGCUUUGUGUCCCUACGCGCUCACGGCUCCCUCUCCGCCGAUUCAUCCUCCUCCCCUCCUGGUUCCAGCCCCACCCGUCGACCCGGUUACCCUUGCCACCGACGUACGCCGCCCCGCUGCGGCGCUCCUCAACUCACGUCCCGCCUCCUCCCGUCGCAUCCAGUGGAUGGGUCCGGCUGCGCACAAUAACAUCAUCAAUUGGCGAAGUGAGAUAAGGGAAUCAAUGGGGCUACAACUGUAUAGCUUCAGAUGACUACAUCAUCCUGAGCAACUUCUCGUAUGUUGAGUUCGGGGUAUCUCAUGAAAGUGUUUUACUCAUUGACACUCAGUAGCCAGUAUGCAGUCCGUCCAUCCUACUUGUUACGAUGAGGCAUGGUGGUUCUUCCACACUUCCUGUUCUUAACGACGAUCCAUUAUCAGAGGCUUGGCCCAUGAUCUAAUGGGAAUCCAGGAAUUUCUAUACCUUGGAGUUUUCUUGGCAUCUAUCUGUAAUAUUUGUUGGUCGUGUUGGAAGGGUUCAAUGGUUUCACCACGUGGGAGCUCAUGCUUAUGGGUUGAUUUAAUGAAGGAUACCAUACUUCACACAUAACUACUGACCUCACCAUCAUCACCAGACAAAGAAAAUAAAAUGAUAACAAAUCAGGCAGAUUAUAUGGCCGACUAUAUUUUGUCCAUGCUAGAUCAGCGUUUUGAACUGCUAUACUUGCGUUAAGAGAGUGUAUUAUUCAUGUGAUUCAAAAAAAGAGUGUAUUAUUCCUGAUAUCAGAUGCUCAUUUCUAUUUCUCAUAAUAAAUAGAUCUUUUUGAAUUUCCUGUUGGUAAAGAAAUGAAUAAUUCUGCCAAAUGAACAUAUGAGCACUUUCCACGAAAGUCAGUACAUUUCAAAAGGCAAUUCCGUACUGUCUGAAAAUAUAGUAUUCAGUGGUGAUCAGUUUAGCCGAAUAGGGCAGUAGGUUCCAACUUGCGGUGAACUUCUGGUGAAUCACUGUACAUAUUAGAUCGUAGGGCCAUGUGCUUGAAAGUAAAUCAUAAGUAGAACAUGAGUUACCUAAAAUCAGAGUUAAUUAACAGAAAAGACUGGGGCAACAAUAUAUGCAAAAUUGUUGAGCCUGUAUGUGCUAGAAUUAGUAUGUGUUCUGUUCACACAUCAGGGUAUACAGUACUAAAACUAAAGUUAAAGAUCCAGCCUUUAUGGAGUCAGUUCAUGUGUUUGUACUACCUCUGCUCAAACUAGGCCAGAUUAUUAAAUAACCAGAGGGAGAGAAAAAUCAGCAUCCAUGUCUCCGCUCACACUUGGAAGAUGAUUAAAUAAGUAGAGGGACAGAUGACAUUGUUUGCUAAUAUUUACAUUUUUGACAGGUUCUAUAUGAAAUAGAAAUCUAUGUGGGAGCAUGCUUGAUAAAAUCCGGUUCAUGUCUGUACAAAUUAGUUGAUCCAGCAAAAUUUAUUCUUGGAAGUAGAUGAUAUUUUUUCCACAUCCUUUUUGAAUGCAACAACGAUAUAACAAUAAUGUGAUCUAUUAAUAGAUUUGCAUCUACAGAAUAAGUGGACUUCCACGUUUAGGUUUAAGUCUUCCAAAUAGGGAGCUCAGGUUGCUCCGAGCGUGGUCGCUGGGUAUGGCCCUACAUGUCAGCAUGUUACCGUCUCUUUUUUUUAGCUUGUGUGACAAUGUGUUUGUGGCCAUGUUUGCAUACGUGGUGUUGCCUGCUUGUUUGUGUCCAGACGGCAUGGACCUGCUCGGUUGUGUCUGAACCAUCCCUUGCUAAUGGCAUUCAGGUGGAUGUAUUAUGCAAUGCGGAGAGCCAUUGGAAACUGAUUACCACAUUCAUGGAUGGAUAGCUUCCGGUGAGCUAUGUUGCAUGAUUUGUUUGUUAGUAUAUCUGUGUCGAUGAGCUGCUCGAUUGCACAAGCGAAAUCGACACUUUUAUAAUAUGUAAGAUAUAUCAUGGUUCAUGUAUAAGGAGUGAUAAUCCAGUUAUUUUUUAUAUGCAUAUUUAAGUCAACAAGAGCUUCAAAUGUUUUUUGUGCAAUGUAAAGAGUUUCAAAUGGGUUUGUA
Lolium rigidum is the source of this 2076-nucleotide long non-coding RNA. RefSeq lists it as uncharacterized. The record is from RefSeq and is a predicted model, not a curated record. Lineage: Eukaryota; Viridiplantae; Streptophyta; Magnoliopsida; Poales; Poaceae. The transcript is spliced from 7 exons.